RNAcentral lists this ribosomal RNA (417 nucleotides) under uncultured bacterium. Its description in RNAcentral is "bacterial SSU rRNA". It matches the Rfam family "Bacterial small subunit ribosomal RNA", at positions 362 to 776 of the family's 1533-position model. The record is from RNAcentral.
UAUUGGUCAAUGGACGCAAGUCUGAACCAGCCAUGCCGCGUGCAGGAAGACGGCUCUAUGAGUUGUAAACUGCUUUUGUACGAGGGUAAAUGCAGGUACGUGUAUCUGUUUGAAAGUAUCGUACGAAUAAGGAACGGCUAACUACGUGCCAGCAGCCGCGGUAAUACGGAGGAUCCAAGAUUUAUCCGGAUUUAUUGGGUUUAACGGGUGCGUAGGCGGUUUUAUAAUUUAGAGGUGAAAUCUCGGGGCUCAACUCCGAAAUUGCCUCUAAUACUGUAGGACUAGAGAGUAGUUGCGGUAGGCGGAAUGUAUGGUGUAGCGGUGAAAUGCUUAGAGAUCAUACAGAACACCGAUUGCGAAGGCAGCUUACCAAACUAUAUCUGAUGUUGAGGCACGAAAGCGUGGGGAGCAAACAGG